CAAGGGCCUUUUUCAAUUUCAGGCAGGAUUGGUGCAGUGUAUAAGUAAGAAAGUUAUGAUUAUAGCAGUGUGGAGCACUGCCUUAGCAAUAGUGUGUACAUGGGACAGGAUUAGAACAGCGUGUAUAUGGGACAGGCUUAGAACAGCGUGUAUAUGGGACGGGAUUAGCACAGCGUGUAUAUGGGACGGGAUUAGCACAGCGUGUAUAUGGGACGGGAUUAGCACAGCGUGUAUAUGGGACAGGAUUAGAACAGCGUGUAUAUGGGACAGACAGGAUUAGCACAGUGUGUAUAUGGGACAGACGGGAUU
Molecule: non-coding RNA, 309 nt
Organism: Pelobates cultripes (western spadefoot toad)
Lineage: Eukaryota; Metazoa; Chordata; Amphibia; Anura; Pelobatidae
Source: the annotation of a GenBank genome assembly